AUGACUGCGAGCGGCCGCAGCCGAGCCGACGUCGUGGAGGGGAGCAACAGCCAGCACAACUGCCGGCCGGCCAGCCAGCGGGGCGGAAACCAUAGGAAAAGCGUGCCAUGUCGUGCAUGCACGCACGCACGCACGCACAGGAACAAAAAGCCACGCUCGCAGUUGGCUUUACCGUCCCCAACCCCUCCCCCUAAAAAAUCCCGGUCGUUGCUUUCAGCUGGCUUUAUUUCACGGAAGAAAAAGGAAUUCCUCCUCAAUCCCCUUUUCGUACUACUAGUUUGGAUUUGGAGUAGUGCUAGUAGUGUGGGAGUGCUAGUUUACUGCUCGCAGGCAGCUGCGGCAUCCGGCAUCCCCCAUCUCGUCCUUGUCCUUCCCUCCCUCACUUGGCUUGCCCGCAUCCGCAUCCGCGUGCACCAGUCGCCACCGAUCGUGCGUCGGUUGCUCUCUCCACAUCCAGCGGAAAACUACGCCUCCCCCACCGCGCGCAGCCCCCUCCCUCCCUCCCUCGUAUCUCCGUAUCUCCGGGUCGGGGGUGGGUGA
RNAcentral lists this ribosomal RNA (540 nucleotides) under Triticum aestivum (bread wheat). Its description in RNAcentral is "partial small subunit ribosomal RNA". The record is from RNAcentral. Lineage: Eukaryota; Viridiplantae; Streptophyta; Magnoliopsida; Poales; Poaceae.